UACGUAGGUGGCAAGCGUUGUCCGGAUUUAUUGGGUUUAAAGGGUGCGUAGGCGGCUUUGUAAGUCAGUGGUGAAAUAUGGCAGCUCAACUGUCAAGGUGCCAUUGAUACUGCAGAGCUUGAGUACAGAUGAGGUAGGCGGAAUUGACGGUGUAGCGGUGAAAUGCUUAGAUAUCGUCAAGAACACCUAUAGCGAAGGCGGCCUGCUGGGCAGUAGCUGACACUGAGGCGCGACAGCGUGGGGAGCAAACAGG
This 253-nucleotide ribosomal RNA is filed under the name uncultured bacterium. RNAcentral describes it as "partial 16S ribosomal RNA". It matches the Rfam family "Bacterial small subunit ribosomal RNA", at positions 524 to 776 of the family's 1533-position model. The record is from RNAcentral.